This 347-nucleotide unclassified non-coding RNA is filed under the name soil metagenome. RNAcentral's name for it is "partial contains 5.8S ribosomal RNA, internal transcribed spacer 2, and large subunit ribosomal RNA". The stretch from base 1 to 120 matches the Rfam family "5.8S ribosomal RNA", at positions 35 to 154 of the family's 154-position model. The record is from RNAcentral.
GAUGAAGAACGCAGCGAAAUGCGAUAACUAAUGUGAAUUGCAGAAUUCCGUGAAUCAUCGAGUCUUUGAACGCACAUUGCGCCCCCUGGUAUUCCGGGGGGCAUGCCUGUCCGAGCGUCAUUGCUGCCCAUCAAGCACGGCUUGUGUGUUGGGUCCCGUCCCCCUCUCCCGGGGGACGGACCCGAAAGGCAGCGGCGGCACCGCGUCCGGUCCUCGAGCGUAUGGGGCUUUGUCACCCGCUCUUGUAGGCCCGGCCGGCGCUUGCCGACACCCAACCAUUUUUUUCAGGUUGACCUCGGAUCAGGUAGGGAUACCCGCUGAACUUAAGCAUAUCAAUAGGCGGAGGA